GUGCAGCAGGCGCGAAAACUUCACACUGUGCGGAAGCACGAUGAGGGAAUCCCAAGUGCUUGCACGUAAGUGUAAGCUGUUUCUCUGUCUAAAACGCAGAGAGAGUAAGGGCUGGGUAAGACGGGUGCCAGCCGCCGCGGUAAUACCUGCAGCUCAAGUGGUGACCGUUAUUAUUGGGCCUAAAACGUCCGUAGCCGGUUUAAUAAAUGCCUGGGUAAAUUGUGUAGCUUAACUAUACGAAUUCCGGGUAGACUGUUAAACUUGAGACCGGGAGAAGUUAGAGGUACUCCUGGGGUAGGGGUGAAAUUCUGUAAUCCUAGGGGGACCACCAGUGGCGAAGGCGUCUAACUAGAACGGGUCUGACGGUGAGGGACGAAGCCCGUGGGGCGCAAACGGGAUUA
This 401-nucleotide ribosomal RNA is filed under the name uncultured microorganism. Its description in RNAcentral is "bacterial SSU rRNA". It matches the Rfam family "Archaeal small subunit ribosomal RNA", at positions 330 to 731 of the family's 1478-position model. The record is from RNAcentral.